This 284-nucleotide small RNA is filed under the name Histoplasma capsulatum var. duboisii H88. Its description in RNAcentral is "Histoplasma capsulatum H88 hypothetical RNA". The record is from RNAcentral. Lineage: Eukaryota; Fungi; Ascomycota; Eurotiomycetes; Onygenales; Ajellomycetaceae.
CUAAAAUGAUUUCCUUGCCCAAUUCUGCUUGUGUUUUGACUAUAUUCUUUUUGAUUAAGAUAGAAUCUUUUAGUUUCGUAUGUGUUUGAUGUCGACACCACUCGUGCAGGAUCUAUCCUAACAUAAGUCGUCCGACGAAAUACGGCACCAACGAACUCCAUUCAAGAUUUGAAGGGAUGUAAUAUAUGAAUGUGAAUAGGAAUGUGAAUGUAGAAUUGAGGAAGUGGAAGAAGUAAUGUAUAUACACAUUAAGAGUAAGAUAAUAUCAAUAAUGACAACAAGCG